UUUCUUUGCUGGCGACCGGCGCACGGGUGAGUAACACGUAUCCAACCUGCCCUUUACUCGGGGAUAGCCUUUCGAAAGAAAGAUUAAUACCCGAUAGUAUAAUGAUUCCGCAUGGUUUCAUUAUUAAAGGAUUCCGGUAAAGGAUGGGGAUGCGUUCCAUUAGGUUGUUGGUGAGGUAACGGCUCACCAAGCCUUCGAUGGAUAGGGGUUCUGAGAGGAAGGUCCCCCACAUUGGAACUGAGACACGGUCCAA
This 253-nucleotide ribosomal RNA is filed under the name uncultured bacterium. Its description in RNAcentral is "partial 16S ribosomal RNA". It matches the Rfam family "Bacterial small subunit ribosomal RNA", at positions 80 to 334 of the family's 1533-position model. The record is from RNAcentral.